RNAcentral lists this ribosomal RNA (316 nucleotides) under uncultured eukaryote. Its description in RNAcentral is "partial small subunit ribosomal RNA". It matches the Rfam family "Eukaryotic small subunit ribosomal RNA", at positions 587 to 972 of the family's 1831-position model. The record is from RNAcentral.
AGCCCUAUUAGCAUAUAUUAAAGUUGCUGCAAUUAAAACGCUCGUAGUCGAAUUUUUAGUCUGGAUAAUGUCCAAAAAAUUGGUACAAUAUGUAGAUUAUAAUAUAUUACCUUGAAUAAUUUAGAGUGUUCAAAGCAGGCAUUUGCUUGAAUACGUUAGCAUGGAAUAAUGAAAUAAGACUUUAUUUUAUUGGUUAAUAAAUUUUGUAAUGAUAAAUAGGGACAGUUGGGGGCAUUUGUAUUUAAAAAGGAGAGGUGAAAUUCAUAGAUUUUUUAAAGACAAACUAAAGCGAAAGCAUUUGCCAAGGAUGUUUUCA